This 2036-nucleotide long non-coding RNA is filed under the name Olea europaea subsp. europaea. Lineage: Eukaryota; Viridiplantae; Streptophyta; Magnoliopsida; Lamiales; Oleaceae. The record is from RNAcentral.
UGCAUGGUAUGGGGUCCCGGAAGAUCGGAGGGUACAAUUUGCCAGUUUGAAGUUAAUUGGCACUGCUCAACUCUUUUGGGAGAGUGUUGAGGACCGUCCUCCUUGAAAGGCGUCAUGCUCCCCCUAUUGGGAGCUAGGAUGAAAUGAAGCGUCGCCUUCAAGAAAAAUAUUUACCCCAAUCUUAUAAGGGUAACUUGCUGGAUCAAUGGAACGCACUUACACAAGGCAAUCGACCUGUAACCGAAUAUGUUGCUCAGUUUGAUGAGUUUCGAAUGAAAUGUCAGGUUGUUGAGGAUGAAGUUAUGACUUUGAGUAGGUUUAGGCAAGGCUUAAGAGACGAACUUAGGCGCGAGCUUGUCCUUAGGGGUGUCACCACUCUCGACCACGCCUACUCUUUCGUUCAGGAUUAUGAAUUAGUGACUAGGACACCGUAUAGAAAUCGUAGCGACUCCCGCACUACAACCUCAUCUGCAUCCACGCCAUCCCCUAAGUCUAUUCUAGGUCCUCCUCCCUCUAAUACUACACCUGCAUCGGAUAGCAAAGGUAGUGGUUCUGAGGUUUCAAGGACAUCCUCCCGUUUGCAAUGCUUCAAUUGUAAGGGUUUUGGUCACAUUGCUUCUAAGUGCCCUAGCCGAGCCCUAGUUCUGGACGAACGUGAGGAUAUAGUCGUCGAUCCACUAGAGGAUCAGGUUUAUGAGCCUAAGUUAGAAAAGUUUGAAGACUUGGAGGACAAUGAGGAUACCUUCUUAGGUUGUAUUCAGGCUAGUCCCAUUAUCCCACAUACACCCAGAGUCGGUGUCGUCCGCUGCACCCUCACCCAGCCUAAGGAUGCCGACGAUUGGUGCCGUCAUGCCAUCUUCCACACCUACGUCAAGAUUAAUAACAAGGGCUGUAAAGUUAUCGUGGAUAGUGGCAGCUGUAUUAAUGCGGUUUCGAAGGCUACUAUAUCCCGUCUAGGGUUGAAGCGAGUUCCUCACCCCCAACCUUAUAGUGUCUCUUAGGUUGACACCUCCUCUAUAGCUGUUAAGGAGCUUUGUUUAGUCUCUAUCCAAUUCCUGGAGUAUAAGAACCAUAUAUGGUGUGACGUUAUUUCGAUGGACGUCGGGCACAUCAUCUUAGGACGACCUUGGCUAUUUGACCUAGAUGUAACCAUAUAUGGUCGAUUCAAUUCCUGCUCCUUCGUGGUUAAUGGAAAGAAGAUUCACCUUAACCCACUACCCCCAAAACCGGCUGGCUCACUAGAAGCGAAGAAAAGUGUGGAACAAAAGGGGUUGCAUAUCAUUAGUCCUACAGAGUUUGAGCGUACCAUUGUUGGUGACUCAAUUGUGUUCGCCUUAGUAGUCAUGGAGGUUUCAUCUAACUCCACAAGUGAGGAUACUGCAGAAACCCAAUCAAUCCUUCAGGAGUUUCGAGAUGUCUUUCCGAAGGACCUACCUGAUCAUCUACCUCCGCUAAGAGAUAUUCAACAUGCCAUAGAUUUCGUCCCCGGCGCAUCCCUUCCAAAUUUGCCACAUUAUAGGAUGAAUCCUACCGAGCACGCUGAGCUCCAAAGGCAAGUGGAUGACCUUUUCAACAAAGGAUUCAUUCGUGAGAGUUUAAGCCCAUGUGCUGUCCCCGCCCUAUUGACGCCCAAAAAGGAUGAAUCGUGGAGAAUGUGUGUGGAUAGUCGCGCUAUCAAUAGGAUCACGGUGAAGUAUCGUUUUCCCAUUCCCAGGCUUGAUGACAUGCUGGAUAUGAUGGUUGGCGCGACAAUCUUUUCAAAGAUCGAUCUAAAGAGUGGGUAUCAUCAAAUUAGAAUUCGCCCAGGGGAUGAGUGGAAGACCGCGUUUAAGACGAAAGAUGGCCUUUAUGAAUGGCUGGUCAUGCCUUUUGGGCUAAGUAAUGCGCCGAGUACCUUCAUGCGGGUAAUGACACAAACUCUUCGGCCGUUCAUGGGUAAAUUUCUCGUUGUCUACUUUGAUGAUAUCCUCAUCUAUAGUAAAACUAAGGAGCAACACCGUGACCACCUCAAACAAGUUUGCUCUACCCUUCGCGAG